Triticum aestivum (bread wheat) is the source of this 1719-nucleotide long non-coding RNA. RefSeq lists it as uncharacterized. NCBI's taxonomy places the organism in Eukaryota, Viridiplantae, Streptophyta, Magnoliopsida, Poales, Poaceae. The record is from RefSeq and is a predicted model, not a curated record. The transcript is spliced from 4 exons.
ACACCAGACCCUCGACCCUGACCUGUUCGAUCCCCAAUCUCAAUCUCACCUCUCUCUCUCUAUCUCGCCACCCACACACCCUGACCCUAACCCUAACCCGACCGCGCCGCCGCUCCCAACCUGGGCGCCUCCGCCCCAAACCACCCGCCGGUCCCCUCGCGCCACCACAUCUCGGACCCCGGUCUCCCUUCCCUUAGUCCGCAGUAGCAGCAGCGCCGUCUGCGAUGGAGGAGCACCGUCUGCCGCCGAGGAACAGCGCCGUCCGCCACCAAGGAUCUGCCGCGCGCCGGGAACAGCAGCACCAUACGCCGGAGGAUCCGCCGCACCGACUUCUGUUGAGGAGCAGCCCGCCGUUCUUCUUCCUCCACCGGCGACCCCUGUCCCGGCCCCGCCUCCAGAUCUCAACAAAACAAUACCCCUGAAGAUGCGUGGAGUAGGCUACUCCUCUGACCAUAACAAUUGGCUGCUAUUGACGACGCGAGGUGGUCUUAUAUGUUCAGUUCUUAAUUAUCAUUUCAAAUCCUUGGACUAGUGGCUGGGAUCGUAUUGGUUAUUUGGAGAUACCUAUUUGUACCGAAGUUCAGUUAGUAAGUUGAAUAUAGCCCUCUUGUUAUAGCCAUGUGCAGUUGAAUUGAAUAUUUUCGGUCCGCUGCUCACUCUUGAUUUUUGCUAAAAAUCUAAAAUCCUUGGUCAGUGGCAUGUUAAUUAUACAUUGCUCGCUAGUUCUAUGCACAUAAAAUACUUGGUUGGGACUGAAAAUUGUAGCACUUGAGCAAGAAAGGCUGACUACCAAUUCAUUAGCAUGUCAAUAAAGUCAAUCUGGUCUUCCUCUAGGAACUUGUUAGGGCUCAUUAAUAGCAUUGUUUUGCUCACUGAAAUAGGAGAGGAGCUGCACAAGAAAGAAAAAGGACAAAUGGCCAAGUACACUUGGCGGAAGAUUGACGAAACAGAGAGGCAGAGAGCAUAGGAACAUUAUCUCAGCUGUCGUUCAUUUCAGAACAAAUCGUUGGCAUUGUACCUUCAAAGGACUAUCCUUUUGCCUACCGAGCACACAAAACAAAUGUGUCUAUGUAUUUAUUUAAGUGAAACAACAUGCUCCCAUUUUUGGUCAAUCGGUGGAUCUGACUAAUACAUAACUACAUAUAUAUGUGUGAGGUAUUAUUCAUGUGUCAUUUUUUGUAAUUCGAGUAAGCUAAAACUGAUGGUCUCAGAUGGUUUGUGUUUUAACUUUGAUCAGAACCUGCAUCUACAAAUACUGAGUAGAGGGUUGCCUUUUGUGCAGGAAUUUGCGGCAGGAUCUCUUGCAUGUGCUCUCCGCUUGUCCUCACUCCUUAGACCUUCCCUUUGCUUAUCACCAUACAUUUUAUUGAGAGCGGUGUCAAGAUGCAUCUCCUCUGCAAAGAUGAUGGGCAGAUGGCCUAAGCUCUAGGGUCAAAUGGCGGGAAGUAUCAAGUCGAAGAUAUUAUGGCUUUGGUACAUCUUCUAUUUUCUUUAAAUGGAAUUUGAUGUCGGUUUGGUGAUCGAAGACUUGGGCUCUUCCAUAGUGUAGUGUAGAGUGAUCGAACACUUGAAGUCUCUUUUGAACUAGGCCCAUAUUUUGUAACAUGCCACAACUUGUAUGUUGAUUUGAGUAUUUUUUCAAUGGUUGUAGCAAGGAAAACUAAUGGAUCCUCUAAAUAUGUUGAAUAAAUGCAUUGGUGAAUGGCAUCUUGUGAUGAA